RNAcentral lists this ribosomal RNA (468 nucleotides) under uncultured bacterium. RNAcentral describes it as "partial 16S ribosomal RNA". It matches the Rfam family "Bacterial small subunit ribosomal RNA", at positions 28 to 507 of the family's 1533-position model. The record is from RNAcentral.
GACGAACGCUGGCGGCGUGCUUAACACAUGCAAGUCGAACGGAAAGGCCCUGCUUUUGUGGGGUGCUCGAGUGGCGAACGGGUGAGCAACACGUGAGUAACCUGCCCUUGACUUUGGGAUAACUUCAGGAAACUGGGGCUAAUACCGGAUAGGAGCUCCUGCUGCAUGGUGGGGGUUGGAAAGUUUCGGCGGUUGGGGAUGGACUCGCGGCUUAUCAGCUUGUUGGUGGGGUAGUGGCUUACCAAGGCUUUGACGGGUAGCCGGCCUGAGAGGGUGACCGGCCACAUUGGGACUGAGAUACGGCCCAGACUCCUACGGGAGGCAGCAGUGGGGAAUAUUGCACAAUGGGCGGAAGCCUGAUGCAGCAAUGCCGCGUGCGGGAUGACGGCCUUCGGGUUGUAAACCGCUUUCGCCUGUGACGAAGCGUGAGUGACGGUAAUGGGUAAAGAAGCACCGGCUAACUACGUG